This 293-nucleotide ribosomal RNA is filed under the name uncultured bacterium. Its description in RNAcentral is "partial 16S ribosomal RNA". It matches the Rfam family "Bacterial small subunit ribosomal RNA", at positions 775 to 1067 of the family's 1533-position model. The record is from RNAcentral.
GGAUUAGAUACCCUGGUAGUCCACGCCCUAAACGAUGAGAACUAGAUGUUGGGAGGGUUUUGCCUCUUAGUGUCGUAGCUAACGCGAUAAGUUCUCCGCCUGGGGAGUACGACCGCAAGGUUAAAACUCAAAUGAAUUGACGGGGGCCCGCACAAGCGGUGGAGCAUGUGGUUUAAUUCGAUCAACGCGAAGAACCUUACCUGGCCUUGACAUCCUCGGAACUCUGUAGAGAUAUAGGGGUGCCUUCGGGAACCGAGAGACAGGUGCUGCAUGGCCGUCGUCAGCUCGUGCCG